UAGGGAAUAUUGGGCAAUGGGCGCCAGCCUGACCCAGCCAUGCCGCGUGCAGGAAGACGGCGCUCAGCGUUGUAAACUGCUUUUAUCAGCGAAGAACGGCCGGUGUGCGCACCGGUGUGACGGUAGCUGAGGAAUAAGCACCGGCUAACUCCGUGCCAGCAGCCGCGGUAAUACGGAGGGUGCGAGCGUUGUCCGGAUUUAUUGGGUUUAAAGGGUGCGCAGGCGGGCUGGCAAGUCUGGUUUGAAAGCCGGUGGCUCAACCAUCGGAUGUGGCUGGAAACUGCGGGUCUUGAAUGCGGUAGCGGAAGCCGGAAUGGGUCAUGUAGCGGUGAAAUGCAUAGAUAUGACCCGGAACCCCGAUUGCGAAGGCAGGCUUCUGGGCCGUGAUUGACGCUGAGGC
This 400-nucleotide ribosomal RNA is filed under the name uncultured bacterium. Its description in RNAcentral is "bacterial SSU rRNA". It matches the Rfam family "Bacterial small subunit ribosomal RNA", at positions 355 to 752 of the family's 1533-position model. The record is from RNAcentral.